This 1882-nucleotide long non-coding RNA is filed under the name Arabidopsis thaliana (thale cress). RNAcentral's name for it is "potential natural antisense gene, locus overlaps with AT2G42360 and AT2G42370 (AT2G42365)". Lineage: Eukaryota; Viridiplantae; Streptophyta; Magnoliopsida; Brassicales; Brassicaceae. The record is from RNAcentral.
CCGGAGUUUAAUACGGCCCAAAUCAGUAUAACCGAGUUCAAUAACCGGUAAGAAUUAAAAUAUUUUACAUUAUUCACCCAAAUCUUUACAUUAAUCACAACAAACUCCAACAUCUAUUCGACUCUUUCAAAUUCACACUCUUCCUCCUCUUCGAAAUCUCCGAGUACAAAAUCGAUCAAUCUCUCGGAAAAUGAUCGUGUAUUCUCUCUCUCAGCCUCACUGCUUCCUAAUGAAUCUCUCUAUUUCUCCUCAUUACGGUUGCUGCUACUGCGGAGUUUGGUGGGGAGGUAUUAGAGACGGAGCUUUGGUGCGUGGCGAAGAACAACGUUGAGGAUUCAACACUUUAAACGGCCAUUGACUGGGCUUGUGGUCCCAGAGGAGCUGAUUGCGUCUAGAUUCAGCAAGGUGGAUCCUGCUACGAUCCAUUGGAUAUAGUGAAGAUGGCUUCGUAUGUAUUCAAUAACUAUUAUCUGAUGGAAUGGUCUCGCAGAUGAAGCUUGCAACUUUAGUAACAACGCAGCUGUUACUUCUCUCAAUCCUAGUCAAGGAACAUGCAAGUUUCCUUCAAGUAAGGGAGUGAGCAAUGGAAGUAUCGCAGAUGCCACUUCAAUGCAGGGAGCAACUGCACCAGAAUUCUCAGAUUGAGCCGAGCAAGGCGGAUGUUUAGCAGCUGGUUGUCACCCUUCGUCAUUUUAGGCCACAUUGUGACAAUGACACUGAUUAUCCAACAGGUUUAGCUUCCGAUUGGUGAUUGAAGGUAACCCUUUUAUGAUCUCUCUUCUCCCUCAGUUUUAUGUAACUAAAAUGGUUCUGCAUCUUUUAUGGAGCCCUGAUAUGUACUGUCUACCACUGUGAAUAGUUAACUUGAAUGGCAUGAACUGCACCAGAUGUAUCUUUUGACUAACAUAUAUUUAGUGUUCCGUUACACAAAACUAUCUAAAACCAAAAACAGAGCAUGAUAUAGUAAAAAAGAAAGGAGGAUAUUGUAUAAAUUAAAGAUUAUCGAUAUGUGUAUAUGAUUUAUAUGCAUAAUAUGUAUCUAUAUGUCGACUCAAUGUCUCUCAAGAUCUGCCACACGAUCUUGGUCAGGACAAGAAUGGUUGAUCCUGUUCGAAGAUCUUUCCCUCGUCAAGAUUUUCCUAAACGAAUUUAAUCGCGAAGCCGGGGAUACAACUGUUUUGUUAUCUGAGGAAGAAGAGGAUGCGGCUUCUACAGUCAAGUUCAGCCUGGUUUCCACCAACAACUGCGGUGCAGUACCGACUGGUCCUUCCCUUGGCUCAGGCUCAAGUCUCGGUCUUGGCUCAACUUCAGUCCGACAAACAGGACAAGUGGAGCAAGUGGUGAGCCACGUGUCAACACAGUCGACGUGGAAGAUGUGCUUGCAGUUGGGCAACUCUCUCGCCUUGUCUUGCUCCUUUAACACGCUUAGACACACUGCGCAUUCAGUAGCGGAGGCAGCCACGCCAUCAGUGGCUCCAACAGUGAAAGUAGGGAGAGAAGCGAUGACUGUGGGAUUGAGGCCACGCUUAGGCAUCUCAAAAGGGUGGCGGAAAAUGACGGGGAGGCCACGGAAAGCUUCUCUACGGCGUCGGAGAACGAAUCUUGCGUAAAGAUGAAGAGCGAAGACGAUGAGGAUAACUCCAGAUAAAGAAGCCACUGCGGCAAGCAUGAUCUUGCUGUUAAGAUCGUAAGUAGACGGAUUAGGCCAGAAUGAGUGGUGGUCAGAGUUGAACCUGCGAUGAUCUCUGUCGUUGGAGCUCAUUGUGAAGCUGGUUUUUCUUCGGUGGAUGCAAAAGAAAAGUGAACAAAAGAGUUUACUAACUUAUGAUUUAUUAUAUAAGGAAUAAAGGACUUAUAGAAUUUCUUAUUUUGAUUGUUUUUC